AUGUUAAUCUUAAUACAAAGGCGUCCGAUUACUACUACUAAUACGGUACGUAUUCCCCCCAAAAGGGAGAAAAUUCCUCGCCGAUUUUUCCCUUUACUCCAAGUCUUCCACACAGCGGACAAAGUCAAAUAUGAGAAACCCCACCGAUUUGUCCCAAUUGGAAACUCUUUCUUCCUAAUUUCCUCGCCGGUGUCUUUCCUCUUCGUUUUCCCCCAAUGCCUUUUGUUUUUUGGUGAUUGUUCAUUGAUUCUUUUUCACCAUCUCUCUUCCUUGGCUGCGGAAAUUUGGUUUAGAAUAUUCAACCGGAGUAGGCUGGUUUCUUCUGAGUACCAUCGGUUGUUCCCCAAUUGCUUUGAUCUGCAACCGAUAAUUUACUUGCAAUUUGUUUGGUUUCUGGAAAAAUUCGCGAAAAUCAAUUGCAAUUUUGUCGUUUGAAGAUCCAGAAUGAUGGAUAUCAGAUACUUCGAAACGAAAGGUGGAUAGAGAGGGAGUGAGUGAGUGUUUGUUUAGUCUUCAUUUCUAGGAGUUGCUUUGCUUCUGUGUGCUGUUGAAUUUGCUGGGAAUCUUCCAUCCUUCAAAUGGAUCUGAGUCAUGGCACAAUUCAUUAUUGUUCUGUUUCAAGGGGGGAACGUAUGCUCUAUGUGUAUAGUAAUGGUGAUGAGGAGAUUGAGAACUUAGCUGAUUUAUGCUUGAAAAGUGCCCCUCCAUAUCACAAGUGGUAUUUUGAAACAUUGGGUAAAAAGACUUUUGGGUUUUUGAUGAAAGAAGGAUCUGUUUAUUUUGCAAUUGCUGAUGAAGUUAUUGGUAAUCAACCUCUUCUCCAGUUUCUAGAGCAGUUGAGAGAUGAAUUCAAAAGGGUAGCAAAAAAGGGUUCACGAGGGAGUUUCUCAAGUAUGAACUCCAUUAGUUUGCAAGAACAGCUAGUGCCUGUAAUUUCUAAGUUAAUCACCUCAUUGGAGAAUGUCUCCCACAAUAGUAAGGAUUGGAUGGCUGAAACCCCAUCCUCCAACAAUGGUUUGUCUCCAUCUCCAAGCAACGUUAACGGGCAAGUGGAUGUUUUGGCUUCCACAAAAGCCCCUUUGCUCGGGAAGUCAAACAAACCAGAGAAGAAAAAGGGAAAGGACCAUGUGAUAACAAUGAGAGGAAUUGAAAUGGAGGAGCAUAGAAAAUCAACGGACAGAGGUUUGAAGAUUGAUUCAGUCUCUUUGGAAUCCAGUAAUCAGGGCGGAUCAGGGUCUGCAAUUCCAGUGCAAAAAGAUAGCAAUCCAUUGAGGAGAUCGAACUCUCAAAGCAUCCGGAGAAGGUGGUGGCGUCAUGUGAGGAUCGCACUUGCUGUUGAUGCUGUUGUAUGUUUGAUAUUGUUUGUUAUCUGGUUGAUUGUCUGCAAUGGAGUUUCUUGUGUCCGCUGAGAGUUUUAUGUAUUUGUACAUGGAACUUGAAAGAUGAAAUAGGGGAGAUUAGAUCGAGGGAGAUAUGUUAAAUGAGGCGAACGUGUAUCUGAAGGGCCUUGAUUGAGUUACACUUCUGAAAAUUGCAGAAUAAAAAAUGUUGUAUGUAUAUGCAGACGAAUUGUUAAUAGUGUGAUGUGUACUUGUGAACAUUUCAAUGAUUGAAUGAAAUAUCUAAAGAUAUCCAAAGGUACAUGAGGAGCCCAAUCGAUGGGUAUACAAAAGGAACCCAACCAGAGGGUCCACAAAAAAAGGUGUUUCCAAUUUGCAAUAAGGGAAUGUGAAUCGUGACUAUGUAUAGCUGGGUAUGUCUUUGCUCCAAGAAAGGAACACUAUGAAUGAUAGGCCGAUUAUGUCCUUUGUUGUCUUGUUCUUAUCUCGGAAGAUUCUAUCAUUCCUUUCAUCCCAUGUCUUCCAUAGAACAGCACAAAUAAUACGAAGCCAUAGACGUUCUUGGUCAGCUUUGAUGCCUCAUUAGGGCAAGCAACAAUGCUUUUUGUCCAGAUCCCUCUAGAUGUGGGAUAAUCAAAGAAGACACAUUGGAUAGUUGUGUUGUUGGAAUGGCAAAGGCUGCACCAAGAAGGAGAUAGGUUGAUCCAUGGGCAACUUCUCUAUAAGCUGUCCAUUGUGUUUGAGACAUGAAUUUGAGAUUUUCCAAAUGAGAAGUUUCACUCUUUCUGGACAGAAGAGACUCUGAAGUUUGUGGUACCUAAAAGCCGUGGAUGGGUGUGCGUUGGGUGGAGGAGACGAAAGUGUAAAGAAUUUGUAUUGAAGCGAUAAGAGAAUCAAAGCUUGUGUGUUCAUUUUGAAAGGUGUGAUUGUUUUCAGCUCAAAGAUUUGUGUAGACUAUGAUCUUGUUUGGGAAAACAUCAUUUUCAAAAACAUGAUUGUAUUUUAGCCUUUUCAUUUU
This is an RNA transcript of Cucumis sativus (cucumber), 2358 nucleotides long. It is a transcript of the gene named phytolongin Phyl1.1, with no coding region annotated. The transcript has 3 exons. Lineage: Eukaryota; Viridiplantae; Streptophyta; Magnoliopsida; Cucurbitales; Cucurbitaceae. The record is from RefSeq and is a predicted model, not a curated record.